Cyprinus carpio (common carp) is the source of this 320-nucleotide long non-coding RNA. RefSeq lists it as uncharacterized. The record is from RefSeq and is a predicted model, not a curated record. The transcript has 3 exons. NCBI's taxonomy places the organism in Eukaryota, Metazoa, Chordata, Actinopteri, Cypriniformes, Cyprinidae.
CAGGACCUCAAACCAGCUGCUGCCGUGGUAACAUCAGGCCAGAAGUGUGCUGGAGAUGAUCACACCAGGACAACGACGGUUCGGCCUAAUGUAUAUAAAUCUACGAUGUGCAUCAGCAGCUUCAGUGAAGAUCACUCAGAAUGGUUGGACGACCUCCCCAAGGUGGAAGGGUAUGGCUCUUCACUCAACAACAAGAGCUUGCUAUCGUGAAAUGGGUCAACAUCUCUACAAGUUGCAUCCUACAGAAACAUAACUUCAGAAUGAAGCAGCUGUACAGGGUGCCAUUUGAGAGGAACAGUGUCAUGAUCAAGUACAUGUGC